UAUGUUUACUAAUGCUGUUAGAGUAAUAUUAGGCCUAAAAUUAUGAUUCUGGGGUGGAAUUGGAUCACAAAUUCUGGAAUUGUUGGCAUCGGGAUCUGCUGGAGGAAAUGCGGUUGAAUGAACAUUUAUCCAGUUAGACAAAAGUGGAUAGGAGACGAAUCUUCGGCAUAGCUGGACAUGGUAGCUACAAGUGAGUUUUUAUCAACACAUUCAACGACUGAUAGAGAAGGGAAAUUUUAAAUAUGUGAUUAAAUUUCUUCAAACGAAAAAGGAAACGUUUUCAUUUGGGAAGCAAGAGGAGUGACUUUCCGAUUCGUCUCAAAUAUAAAAAAGUAUAAAUUGUCAAUCAGUGCUUGAAAGUAUCCAAUGUAAGUGGAAAACAUGUGGAGCAAGGUACGGCUUCUCCGGCGUGUGGCUUCUCCGGCGUGUCUCAACAUAAUCAAGGUAGGUUAACUUUUUAAUCAUAGACUCUGCAUUUCUUUAUUAUUAUUACUAUUCUGCAUUUCUUUAUUAUUAAUAUUACUAUAAUGGAUAAUUAUAACACACUUAAAUUGUACAAAAGUGUGAGUGCGCAUGAUCCACCAAGUCAAAAAAUAAAAGUUCCAAAAUAGGCGAAGAGAAGUUUUAACGAUGAAGGUUGGAACACUGCUCUAAAAUUACUCUUACUCGUUGCAAGUGGCCGUGUUUCAUAAAUUGAAUUCAAUUAACACUGAAAUUAAUUGCUAUCAUUUAUUCCAAGCCGAAACAUUCUAUCUGUACCGGUAUAGGCAUCUAUGUGUAAUGUGAAACAAAAAUGAAUGCAAAAUAACAUUGGCGGAGGUCAUUUCGCUUUUGCUGAAAUCAUAAAGGCGUUUUUAAUUGGGCUGGAAUAUUUGGGAUUCCAUAGUUUUAACUUGUAUUUUAUCAUGCAGUUUAUGCCCUGAAAACGAGGAUAAGCGAAUAAGGUGAAAGCGAAUCUCACGAAUCGAGAGUUUGUUGAACUGCGUUCUGGUUGGAAAGAUCAAAGGACAGUCGACAACUGGACACGUACGUUUAAGAACAUUGGAAGGAAUUGUCGUACCAUCUUGAUUAUAUAAACAGUGUAUUUUAAUUUUUUAUAUAACCAUUUUUCUACCCGAGUUUGCCGGAUAUCAAAGCUUGCCCCAGUAGUGGCGUAUCUGCGUGAAAUGGCGCCUACGGGAAUGUUCAAAAUGAGCCCUCUUUAUCGAUCGUUUACUGAAAUUUUUACCUACGGUUUGUUGCUUUGUGAUACUUUCACGUUUUUUAAGUGGUUUUUAUCAAAAUGAGGUUUCGCCCAUUGUGCGCCCUCGUCCAAAUGGCGCCCGUGUUAGGGGCAAUGGCCCUCUUGCUAUAUAUGUAUGCCACGGAGCCCAGGUAUCGCCCAGAAAUUCACAAUUCUUCAUUUCGUGUCUGAUCAUGGCAGAAAAGCUUGAUAUCUCGAUGUUGCUCGCUUUUGAACAAUCCGUCCCUGCAUUCCCAUUAAUAUCUCCAUUUUAAUUAAUAUUUCCAUUUCCAUGUAGAAUUAUGUUUGUUCUCUUGCUUGAAAAAUAAUAAAAUUAUUGAAGCGAUA
This is a non-coding RNA of Styela clava, 1570 nucleotides long. NCBI's taxonomy places the organism in Eukaryota, Metazoa, Chordata, Ascidiacea, Stolidobranchia, Styelidae. The record is from RefSeq and is a predicted model, not a curated record.